GCCUACCUGCAUUAUUUUGGUUCAAACUUUAGCAUCCACAAAUGGGUUAUCAUUUGUACAUGGAGCACUCCUUCAUUUGGCCAUAUCAUUUUCUAAUUACAUCUCCUUCACCUACUGCAUCAAACUUUGCUGCUUUCAUAAUUACAAGUUCCUAAUACUGCUUGCAGAUCUCUUCCUUCACUAAUUUUAUACAACUAGCUCAUUGGGUGGCCACCCACGUAGCCUUAUAGUUUGGUAGAAUUAGGUGAGAUGAAGACAUGAGCAAGGAAAUUUCUUGAAAAGUAAGUUUAACCACACUAACCAAGUUGAAAGUUCAAAUACCCUAACCAACAAACACAGACAAUGAUCUGUUUAAUUUUCUUGAUUGGAGGGAUAUUAAUGGAGAAGUAGGUUUCCAGGGAAAAAGAGGGGUGAAGAGUGAAGAGUUGGAUCAUAUAGCAAGUGAUGAAACACCUGAAGGGUCAGGGCCAACAGAGAUGGAGAAGGUUCAGUGAUAAAAGGAAAAAUAAAAAAAAAAAAAAAAAGAAAAAAGAAAAAGAUGGGAACAGUUAGUUCAUGUGCUGCAAAAUGGUGGGUAGUGUCAACUUGCAGAGUACAGGAUUGGGGUGUUGUUUGCAGAAGCGUCUCCUCAGCCUGAGCCUGAACCUGACCCUGAACCUGAACCUGAGCCUGCACGAUUGCCAAUAUAUGUGAAUUGCUGAAAUCUGAUCUGAUCUGAUCUGAUCUCCCCUCCAGAGGUACUGCAUGUAUCAGCUUUUGGCAGCACUUGAAAUACUUGUAUCAUGCCUUUAUAUUUGUCUGGUUUUUAUAAUAAACAUGCUUUUUCAAGUCAUGAUAAAAGCCUAGGUGAAGGCUUUUUUAGUUUUUAUCACCAUUC
Molecule: long non-coding RNA, 877 nt
Organism: Manihot esculenta (cassava)
Lineage: Eukaryota; Viridiplantae; Streptophyta; Magnoliopsida; Malpighiales; Euphorbiaceae
Exons: 2
Source: RefSeq, a predicted model, not a curated record